This 415-nucleotide ribosomal RNA is filed under the name uncultured bacterium. RNAcentral describes it as "bacterial SSU rRNA". It matches the Rfam family "Bacterial small subunit ribosomal RNA", at positions 115 to 518 of the family's 1533-position model. The record is from RNAcentral.
ACGUGGGUGACAUACCCGUUCAGAUGGGGAAUAGCUAUUAGAAAUAGUAGAUAAUACCGAAUACGAGCACAGGGGUUAGAGAUCUGUGAGGAAAGGAGCUAAGGCUCCGCUGAAGAAUGGCCUGCGCCAUUAGCUAGUUGGUGAGGUAAGAGCCCACCAAGGCGAUGAUGGGUAUCCGGCCUUAGAGGGUGAACGGACACAUUGGGACUGAGAUACGGCCCAGACUCCUACGGGAGGCAGCAGCUAAGAAUAUUCCGCAAUGGACGAAAGUCUGACGGAGCGACGCCGCCGUGGAUGAAGAAGGCCGGAAGGUUGUAAAAUCCUUUUGAAACUGAAGAAUAAGCGUUGUAGGGAAUGACAGCGUGGUGACAGUAGGUUUUGAAUAAGCAACGGCUAAUUACGUGCCAGCCGCCGC